AAUUAAACUAAACUAAACAUUAUGGAAUAUUCAGUAAUGCUCCGUUUACAAAAAUGUUUAUUCAUCAAUUUCUACUUAUAUGUGGUUUGGAUUUUUGUUGUCGCCUUUUUUCUGUAUGCCAAGGUAAACUUACCUAUAGUUGGAUAUUUUAGGUCAUCUAACAAAAUAUCUUGCACUGACCGUGUUCACACUUCUUGCGUUAAUUGAAUCAGCAAGGCUCUAUCUUGGUCAUUACGGAAAUCUAUCAUGCAGAGUCCCAGAACUUGCAGG
RNA transcript from Amyelois transitella, 270 nucleotides. RefSeq lists it as uncharacterized. NCBI's taxonomy places the organism in Eukaryota, Metazoa, Arthropoda, Insecta, Lepidoptera, Pyralidae. The record is from RefSeq and is a predicted model, not a curated record. The transcript is spliced from 3 exons.